RNAcentral lists this unclassified non-coding RNA (1389 nucleotides) under Portunus trituberculatus (swimming crab). Its description in RNAcentral is "solute carrier family 66 member 3-like, transcript variant X2". The record is from RNAcentral. Lineage: Eukaryota; Metazoa; Arthropoda; Malacostraca; Decapoda; Portunidae.
CGGCCGCUGUCUGGGGUUUCUUACGUAAUUGGUGCCACUGCGACUGUCAGCUGAUCCCGCCACUCGACUCGAGCCGAGCGCUUGGCACUUACAGUUGAAGACUCACCGGUACGGAAGGAGUACGUGCCUGCUGUCCUUCCUUAGACCCGUAUACUUGCCUGGCAACAUGUCUCUCUUGAUAGACUCCCUCAUUACAAUCUGCAAUGUAUCAACGAUAGGCCUGUGUGGCUUUAUGAAGGUUCCCCAGAUCAUUGCCAUCAUAAAGGCGAGAUCAACAAAGGGGCUAAGUUUGACGAGUUUGAUGUUGGAGCUGACCAGUUACACCAUCAUGUUGAGUUACAACAUUUACUCUGGCUACUCCUUCAGCUCCUACUUUGAAUAUCCUUUAAUGGUUACUCAAGAUGUGGUGAUGCUAGUGGUGUUCCUUUUAUUCACUGGCCGCCUCUCCCCAACUCUCCUAGUACCAGCUACUGCUGCCGUUUACUUUGCAUACUCUGUAGCUUCAGGCAGCCUUCCUCAUGCUCUCAUCACUACUCUUGUGGGUCUGUGUACACCCAUAUCAGCCAGCAGCAAGGUGAUGGCACUCUUCACUAUCAUUCGCAUCAAGAACUCGGCUACUGUGUCUGUGUCAUCCUUGUCUAUCUCUGCUUACACCUGUUUCACUCGGUUAUUCACCAUUUAUGUGGAGUCAGCAGAUCCAGCACUUCUGAUGAAUUUUGGAAUGAGUCUAAUGCUCAACUUUUGUCUCAUCACUGCAGCCAUCAUUUACAAACCAAAAAAGAAAGAUGACUAAAUGCUCCUCAUCACAUCACUUAAAAGAAGAGAGAGAGGGAGGUGUAGAUAAUAAUAACACUAAGGUCACAGGGCUUGCCAGAUGUUGCCUCGAAAUAGGAAAAAAUUACCUAUUGUAAGGGAACAUGUCUCAAGGCUCGAGGAGGCGAGCAAGAAAAGAUGCCAGAUAACUCCACUAGCCCCAGGACCAAUAGUGAGGGGGAGAGAUUCAAACGUUUAGCACAGAAAAAUCAUGAUUCCCGGAAUGAUCCCUGCCUCUUCGCAUGCGACGGCUAGCCAGCGCAGCGGCAGACGGACACCAGCCGCCAUACACACCACUACCCCUGUUCUGUCCAGCGAAGAUUGUGUGCGAGGUCGUGCCGCAGGAGAGGCACGAGCGACGGGAUCAAGCACGAGGAGCCAGUGUGGGCGAGUUGUGGGCCCUUACGAGUGCGUGGGACUCCCUACAUGUGUUGCCGCCGUGCCAGUGGAGGAGACGGCCAUGAGAGGAGGGAGACACGACGUUGGAGACGUGUGAUCACCAAGACUGUGGUGCCUGCUGUGCUGCUAGUUCUGUGCUCUGUAAUAAACUGCAAUUGGGAGAACAGUGUUUCGAGU